GGAGGUCGGGCGAGAGGAGAGAAGCAGGGCGGGGCGGAGAGAGAGAGGGAGGGCACGGACGGAGGGUCGGGGGGCAGCGGCGGCAACGAGAGAGAGGGAGGGCACGGGCGGAGGGACGGGGGGGGCGGCGGCGGCGAACGAGCCCGUGGGUAGGUGCUGGAGCGCGGCGGGGAGAGGAGAAGGAGGGCGGAGUGGAGAGAGAGAGGAAGGUUUGGGAUCUGGCGGAGGAACGGGACAGCGGCAGCCUAGUAGAGGAAGAGGUGGGGAGAGUGACUGCUCCUCGACCGCGAGCCCCUCCUGCUCCUCUACCGGCGGAGGACCCUCGUCGUCCUCCUCCUCCCCGUACGCCGCGGCCGCUGAUUCUUCCGGUCCUUGCACCGGUGGCCGCUGUUCCUCGGGCUCAAGGAACCGCUCGGCAGGGGCGAGUCGGCUGGUUCUUCCGGUCCUUGCACCAGGGAAGGUAGGUAGGAGGAAGAGUGCCGGCAAGGAGGACCGGCCCUACUAAAGUACCAGCACAACGUCAACCAAGGUCAAGACUGGCGUGCGGAGCGUAGGCGGCAGACAGCAGGUGGCAAACGAGCCAACGGCGGUACCUUUUCAAUUAAGAAGAAGAAAAAAAACAGGAAGGUCAAAAGGACGACUACACGUGGAUAUGUACUCGUUAACUAAAAGAGAUUUUUUAUGUACUACAACAAGGUAAGCGAAAGAGAUUAACUACACCAACUCGUUAACUAAAAGAGAUUUUUAUGUACUACAAGAAGGUAAGCGAAAGACCAGACUAGGAUUUAUAGUACACAUAGUUUGAUUAGUAACUAUGACGUUGACUUCGAUCGAGAAUACCUCUAUCUCUUAAUGAUGUGACGACAGACGUACGCACACUUCGAGAAUACCUCUAUUAAUGAAUGUAUGGUUUUGGUAUAUACUCAGGCGACAAAUAAUAACAAGUGGUCUUUACUACUAUUUAAACCAUUAAUUGAUCACAGAUAAUUCACAAUUGAAAUAGUUUUUUUAUAACACACAAGGCCCGGAUACUCAGAAACAAAACAAACAAAAGGUCUCGUGUGUCAUUUAUUUUGUCUCGUGUUUCGUCAUCGGAAACCUCGUCCAAUGUCAAAGAUGAACCUUAAUUUCCUAAACCUCGUCCGAUGUAGACACUACUGUGUCUAACCAAUACGUACUAGAGAAUCAUUACUUUGAGAAAGGAACGGACAUAGAUUAGAACAUACAAGUUAAGAAAAAGGAAAACUCACCUAAAGAUAUACCUUAUGGUAGAUAAAGAUUACUUAAAAAUACAACGAACGACGGGAAAAAUUAAUCUAUCUAGGUUAUUAAUAUGGUUACUUAUCUAGAAAAAACACUGACUAUAUACUAAGUUACUAUAUUUACGAUAUAUAAAACAUAGGCUAUACGUUCCAAUGGACUUAGAGGAGCGUAUAAAAAAAACUUCCUUCUCACUUGCGUCAGGACUUACGUCAGUUAUCCGCGUGAGGUAAAUCUUGUUACCUUCGUAGUAAUUUAAUUGAACCAACUGUCUACCAAGUUCGACGAGCAGCAGAUUACCUUUCGAACCGGAUUAUUUUUAUAGACCCUCCAUCGAUACCAUCAGAGUAACAUUAAAGAUGAGAUGGUAGUUCCAAGAGGUACUACUAACUCUACUGGCACUGAUGAAAUGUUCGAAAACCUUCGACACUGUCUUCCGUACCUUUGGUACUAUUCAGUUUCGUAUAUUUGGAGUUUUAAUACGUCGACUAGUAUAGUAUAACGGUGACCUUACUUUAACAGAUAAGAUUUCACAAGAUGUGAGUUCGAUAGUAGACGUGAAGUAAAUAAAAUUAGUAAGGAGUGGUCUUGAUGAAAUAAUCAUCACUUUCCGUAGUGCAUUAAAUAAGUAGCGGUUUUUUAUAAUAGUACGAGGGUUAAAUCGACCGUUAACCACGUGUACAGACGGUCCUGAUUCCCUUAGUUCUUUGUUAGGAAGUCGAUGAUUAAUACCAGCAAAAAAUAUUGUCGAAUAGAUCGAUGGAUAAACAUCAUUUCAAGCCGAUGUAUUAAGAGAAGCAGGUAAUCAAUCAGGAACCAGGAGGACCGAUGACAACUUACUAACAAUAAAAAAAUCGAGUGGAAGCAUACGAGGAUAACGAGUUCGCACUCAAAACAGGGUGUUCCAAUUACGGUGAAGGUUAAAAAAUAUAUAAAGAUAAAAUGAACGUCGGUAACAGCACGAAUGAGGUGUCAACAUCUUUUUAAAGGAACCAAGGUUCAAGACUUAUGCGCAAUUAGGUAGUAGAUAAAAACUGGGACAUCUACUUAAAUAAGGGUCUACAAAUACGUCCCUUCCUCCUCCGUAUGGUAACUAUCAAACUUAGUUUGGUCAUCUCCUGUGGUGGCAGCCAAUACCACAGCUCACUGCCUUGACGUCACUAGACCGUCACACCGACAACUGGAGGAAUUGUAGUAAGUGUAAGCAGCGAGAUUUGGGUGAGUCGUCUGUUCGAUUUAGGAAGACGAAAUAGUGCUCCUGUUGUUAUCACGAGUACACUCGAACUUGACACCACUUACGCUGACUACAAAGUUGGCGUAUGUUUCUACUUCAAGAAAAACAAAGAGCUCAUUAUAAUAGCAUAUAUCCGCACUACGGAGACGUCUCCGCAAAACCUAGUUAUGGAAUAGAAAUAACAUUUAAUACACACUAGUGGCGAUACUCUGUGGAAACCUACCUAAAUAAUGAGGUAUCAAUAACAUUUAAUACUUGUUUAAUACGACAUCAAGGUCACAAUCAAUAGACUAGAUGAUUUAUACGGAUACAAUAGGACAUCAUUACGUAUACGAUGUGGCCCUAAGGAUUAUUGAAUGGUAAUAGAAGAACUGGUUUUACUACCCUGGCCGUGGGAGCGCGGUUCCGCGCUAGGGCUAGAUCAUGUCGUUGUAACCGUCCCCGGCCCGCGUUGAUGCCAACGUCCAAAUACCCGUUUUUAAUCACGAGAAUGUUUCCCAGAGUGUGCCACCCUUUUUAGAUGGAAACCAUUACAAUUUCGACUCUAAUUUGCGAACUUACACCUUGAACCUUCCGAAGUUCGCCUAGGAUCAGCCUGACUCGGCUGGGCUUAACUUCAAUUCUAAUUUCUGGCGAACCAGCUUGAAAUAGUGUCCCUUCUUCAUUACACCGCAGUCUCCCGCGCGUAAUGUACCGAUCGUCGCCCUCUAUUCUCGUGAUUUAAGAAGGUGGACGUGCGAUCGUCUGAUGCAGAAUUCUUAUUUUAAUUCCGAGAGUACUUCCUCCUACCGUGGUGUUGUCUACUACGUCUACUCUACCCCUUAAACCAAUGUCGAGAGAUAGCCCUGGAGAAGUGAAGUCUCCCAUGUAGUUUGUACCUCUCCCACUAACUAUGACAGGGAACGUUUCACUGGCUCCUCUACUUAUUUUUAACU
RNAcentral lists this ribosomal RNA (3429 nucleotides) under Triticum aestivum (bread wheat). Its description in RNAcentral is "partial small subunit ribosomal RNA". Lineage: Eukaryota; Viridiplantae; Streptophyta; Magnoliopsida; Poales; Poaceae. The record is from RNAcentral.